RNAcentral lists this long non-coding RNA (36783 nucleotides) under Capsicum annuum. Its description in RNAcentral is "long non-coding RNA (CANN_LNC000154)". Lineage: Eukaryota; Viridiplantae; Streptophyta; Magnoliopsida; Solanales; Solanaceae. The record is from RNAcentral.
UUUUUUUUGUGGUGGUGGUGGGUGGGAUCCUAAAAUCUCAAAUAAAUGGGAAUGAAGACUAAACAAUAAGUGACUUAACAACAAAGAUAAAAGUUGAUCAUAUUAAAAGGUGUAACUGAUUGUCUCAUCCAAGCAUAACUUUAUAUUCAAGAACUUCAAUUAUCACCUCCGUGAUAAUUAUGAGUUCAAGAACUCAUCUCUUCUAGAUCAAGGGCAACUUCUGAAAUAAACUUGAAUUGCUCGGCUGGAACAUCACCUUUUAUUUCUUUUUUAAUUUUUUCCAACCGUGAUUUAUAUGCCUCAAAUUGCUUCAACCUGUUCUCCAACAUGUGUUUAUCUAUUGGCAUUUCUGAGUCAAGGUAUUUCUCCUUGAAUUCUUGUACUUCUUUACGAAGAUCUUCAAAUGCCUCAAAGACAUUUGUUUUGCUCAUAUCAGUAUGAUUCUGUAGGCUAUCAUUUUGUUUCAAUUCAUGAAACUUAUUAAUUACUUUUUCUAUACUUGGGGAGCCAUAGGAAUGUGGUUUUCCAGCUUGUGUAAAGAGAAUAAAACCGACAUCUGCUCCGGUUAGAUUUGAAUAGUCUUUUGCUUUCUUGCCCAAGCCAUUUUUUCUUUUUGAAAAAGCAACUGUGCGAGCUUCUUUAGACUCAAUCAACUUCAUUUCGAUCUUUUGUCUACCCUUUCCACCCCUCUUAUCCAUUGCAAAGUAAAUAAUUAGAGAAGAGAAAAGAUGUGUUGGUUGAAUAAGUCUGAGCAAUUUUGAAAAGAAUGCUUGUGUAAUUUAUAGUAGCUAUACAAGUUGGUUUGUCACAAGUAAUGACACGUUUAUUGAAAAUUUUAAUAUUAUAAGUUUAAUCAUCACGUGUAUUGUCAUGUAUACUUAUUGUGUUCACAUUACGACUUGAUUUGUCACAAGUAUUGACAGGUUUAUUUAAUAUGUUUAUAUUAUAAAUUUAAUCAUAAUGUGUUUUGUCAUGUAUGCUUAUUGUGUUCACAUUAUGAGUCUGUUGUCGCGAGUAUUGACAGGUUUAUUUAAUAUUUUCAUAUCAUUAGUUUAAUUAUACGUGUCUUGUCAUGUAAUAUUUUCAUAUUAUAAGUUUAAUCACCACACGUCUUGUCAUGUAUACUUUUUGCAUUCACAUUAUGAGUCAGUUUGUCAUGAGUAUUAACAAGUUUAUUGAUAUUUUAAUAUUAUAAGUUUAAUUAAUCAGCACAUGUCUUGUUAUGUAUACUUAUUGUAUUCACACUAUGAGUUAGAUUGUCACGAGUAUUGACAGGUUUAUUUGAUAUUUUUAAAGUAUAAGUUUAAUCGUCACGUGUUCUGUCAUGUAUGUUUAGUGUUCACAUUAUGAGUCAGUUACAAUGAGUAUUGACAGGUUAAUUUAAUACUUUCAAAUUAUAAGUUUAAUCAUCACGUGUCUUGUCAUGUAAUAUUUUCAUAUUAUAAGUUAAAUCAUCACGAGUAUUAACAGGUUUAUUUAAUAUCUUCAUAUUAUAAGUUUAAUUGUCACAUGUCUUCUCAUGUAUAAAUGUCUAGUAACACUAAAUUUGUUGUGCAUGCGUUACAACUCAUAUAAUAUUGUGCUCACUAAUAUGAGUUAGUUUGUCACGAGUUUAACAAGUUUAUUAAGUAUUUUCAUAGUAUAAAUUUAACUAUCAUGUGUCUUGUCAAGUAUAAAUGUCUAGUAAUACUAAAUUCAUUGUGCAUCCAUUACAACUCUUACAAUAUUGCGCUCACUAGUACACUUUGAGUUAGGCCUAUAAUUAAAUUAUUCUAUAAAAAGAUAUUUAUGCCUUUUAUAAGUUUCAUAUGAAACUAGUUUCUCGACGCGUGCGUCACACGUGUAUGCCUAGUCACACAAUACAAAUUCUGUUAAAUAUUAAUAAUACUCGUUGAAAUAAAAUUGAGUGAACCCUUUAGUACCCCCAUAGUCUAACUUCCUGAGGAUGUCAAAAAUUUCUUAAAAUCGAGUUCAGUGGGGGUAAUAAGACCCCAGCGAAGUUGAAGUUUGUCGUAGCAACUUUGAUCAUAGUUCGAGGAGGUAUUUAAAUGCUUAUCUCAAUAAAAUUUAUAUUAAGAAAAAGUGCACAUUUAUGUAACUAAUCAAUGCAGAUCACCCGUGGAACUAGCCGGAACUCCGCCUUGAAACAGCGGGGGCCGGUGGGUACAGCUAGUCGGGUUCACAAAGCGAUACCCAGAAACACGGAUAUAAAAAAAUAAAAAAUAAAAAUCAAUGCAGAUCAUUAUUUGGUGACAUCUUUAUCGAGAUAAAGAUGACUGAAUGUUCCCUAAUCUAUGAAGAUGAACAAUUAAACUUUUGGAUACAUGUAUUAUUUAUACUAAGCGAAAAAAUAUAUCGUCACCAUUUUUAUUAUAUCAUCAAUUUACAAUUAUCAUAAUAACUUCACAACCGAUCGAUUCAUACCUUUAAGAAUUUCAGUCAUUUUUAGGAAAAUCCUCAUAAAGUAAAAAUUUACAAUUUUACAUAUAUUUUAAAUUAAAUACUUUAUAUUUAUUUAAACUUCUAAAAAAAUCACUAUUAUUUGUAAUCAUUAGCUCUCAUAUCUUAAUUUGUUCUUCUCCCAUUAGUGAUUUCUUUACCUUGAACCUCUUUCAAUUUCUAUUACUUUUAGAACAUAAUCAAUUUUUUUAAUUAUAAUUUGCUAAUAAGUAUACAUUUUUAACCUAAAAAGGUUGUAUGGAUAAAGGAAAAUGAGAUAUAAUAAAAUUAUAAGUUAUUUUUUGUACUUUUAUUAUGAUUAACAUUUCAAUUGAUUUACUAAUCUAGGUAAUAGAAAGAUUCAUUAAAGACGAAAGAUUAAACAAAUGGAAAACUUGAUUUAAUAACAUAGGAAUUUCAUAACAUCUUUUUGUUUUUGGUGGGGUGGGAAAUUUUGGGAGGCCGGGGUGUGGGGGUAAGGGUGUAGGAGGGUGUUCCUAAAAUCUCAAAAAAAAAUGGGAAUGAAGACUAAACAAUAAUUGACUUAACAAUAAAGAUAAAAGUUGAUCAUAUUAAAAGGUGUAACUGGUUAUGUCUCCUCCAACCACAACUUUAUAUUCAAGAACUUCAGUUAUCACCUCUGUGAUAAUUACGAUUUCAAGAACUCAUCUCUUCUAUAUCAAAGGUAACUUCUGAAAUGCCAAAUUGCUCGGCUGGAACAUCACCUUUUAUUUCAUUUUUAAUUUUGUCCAAUCGUAAUUUAUAUACCUCAAAUUGCUUUAACCUAUUCUCCAACAUGUGUUUAUAUGUUGGCAUUUUUGAGUCAAGGUCUUCCUCCUUGAAUGAUUAAAUUUUUACGAAGAUCUUCAAAUGUCUCAAAGACAUUUGUUUUGCUCAUAUCAGUAUGAUUCUGCUGGCUAUCAUUUUGUUUUAAUUCAUGAAACUUAUCAAUUACUUUUUCUAUACUUGGGAAGACAUAGAAAUGUGGUUUUUCAGCUUGUGUAAAAAGAAUAAAACCGACAUCUUCUCCGGUUAGAUUUGAAUACUCUUUCGCUUACUUGCCCAAGCCAUUUUUUCUUUUUGAAAAAGCAAUUGUGCGAGCUUCUUUAGACUCAAUCAACUUCAUUUUGAUCUUUUGCCUACCCUUUCCACCCCUUUUAUCCGUUGUGAAAUAAAUAAUUAGAGAAGAGAAAAGAUGUGUUGGUUGAAUAAGUCUGAGCAAUUUUGAGAGGAUUGCUUGUGUAAUUUAUAGUAGCUAUACAGGUUGGUUUGUCACGAGUAUUGACUCGUUUAUUGAAUAUUUUCAUAUUAUAAGCUUAAUCAUCACUUGUAUUUUCAUGUAUACAUAUUGUAUUCACAUUACGAGUUGAUUUUUCAUGAGUAUUGAACGAUUUAUUUAAUAUUUUUAUAUUAUAAAUUUAAUCAUCGUGUGUUUUAUCAUGUAUGCUUAUUGUGUUCACGUUAUGAGUCUAUUGUCUCGAGUAUUGACAGGUUUAUUUAAUAUUUUCAUAUCAUUAGUUUAAUCAUCACAGGUCUUUUCAUGUAAUAUUUUCAUAUUAUAAGUGUAAUCAUCACACGUCUUGUCAUGUAUACUUUUUGCGUUCACAUUAUGAGUCAGUUUGUCAUGAGUAUUAACAAGUUUAUUGAUAUUUUCAUAUUAUAAGUUUAAUUAAUCGUCAAGUGUCUUGUCAUGUAUACUUAUUAUAUUCACAUUAUGAGUUGGUUUGUCACAAGUAUUGACAGGUUUACUUGAUAUUAUAUUAUAAGUUUAAUCAUCACGUGUUCUGUCAUGUAUGCUUAUUGUGUUCACAUUAUGAGUCUUUUGCAACGAGUAUUGACAGGUUAAUUUAAUACUUUCAAAUUAUAAGUUUAAGCAUCACUUGUCCUAUCAUGUAAUAUUUUCAUAUUAUAAGUUAAAUCAUCACGAGUAUUAACAGGUUUAUUUAAUAUCUUCAUAUUAUAAGUUUAAUUGUCACGUGUCUUCUCAUGUAUAAAUAUCUAGUAACACUAAAUUUGUUGUGCAUGCAUUACAACUCAUAUAAUAUUGUGUUCCCUAAUAUGAGUUGGUUUGUCGCGAGUUUAACAAGUUUAUUAAGUAUGUUCAUAUUGUAAAUUUAACCAUCACGUGUCUUGUCAAGUAUAAAUGUCUAGUAAUACCAAAUUCAUUAUGUAUCCGUUAGAAGUCUUACAAUAUUGCGCUCACUAGUACACUUUGAGUUAGGCCUAUAAUUAAAUUGUUCUAUAAAAAAAUAUUUAUGCCUUUUAUAAGUUUCAUUUGAAACUAGUUUCUCGACGCGUGCGUCACACGUGUAUGCCUAGUCACACAAUACAAAUUCUGUUAAAUAUUAAUAAUACUCGUUGAAAUAAAAUUGAGUGAACCCUUUAGUACCCCCAUAGUCUAACUUCCUGAGGAUCCUAUUCCUCCCCCCACCCCACCCCACCCCCCGCGCUAAAAAAACUCAAUUUUGCAUAUUUUUGUCACUAUUUUGGACUGACAUGACACCUUUUGUCAACCUUUUUAGAUGACGUGACACCUUUGAUGUGGAACCCCAUUUUAUGUUAUAAAGGUGCCAUAUCAGCACAAAAGGGUAUCCAAAAUAUGCUAAAAUUAAGUUCGGUGGGGGUAAUAGGACCCCUGCGAAGUUGAAGUUUGUCAUAAUAACUUUGAUCAUAGUUUGAGGAGGUAUUGAAUGCCUAUCUCAAUAUAAUUUAGAUUAAGAAAAAGUGCACAUUUAUGUAACUAAUCAAUACAGAUCAUUAUUUGGUGACAUCUUUAUCGAGAUAUAGAUGACUAAAUGUUCCCUAAUCUAUGAAGAUGAACAAUUAAACUUUUGGAUACAUGUAUUAUUUAUACUAAGCAAAAAAUAUAUCAUCACCAUUUGUAAGAUACCCCGCAAAAUCUUAUGUUGAUAAUCAGCUCUUUUAACUCCAAAAAGCUUUUUUGAAGGUCCAACACUUAGAACAUUUUAGCUAGGUGUUCAACACUUAAUCUUAUUUUAAGCCUUCAAAGUCGGAGAUUUAUUUGACGUCCUUUUCGACAUUCAUUUUUUAUUUUUCAAGUUGCGUUGUGAUGGGGCAAGUCAAUAGUACAUUCCAGGUGAGUUUCAGAAUUUUCAAAAUCAGUUUAGGGCAUGUUUGGAUUUUGAAACAGUAGCAUCCUGCGAUUAGCAUGCGACGCAUGCUCCAUCUCACAGUCCCUAGCAUGCGAUAGAGCAUGCGACGCAUGCUCCAACUUAGUGUAUUAAGGGUAAAUUGAACUUUUUCCCCACCCUAUAUAUAUAUAUUCAAAAACACGGGAUUAAACCCAUUUUGAACCAAAAUACACUCAAAAUUCUCAAAAUCCUCUCAAGAACACCUUAGGCAUUCAAUUGGGGAUUUAAGUUCAAGAAAUUCAACCACAAACUUUGGGAAAUCAAGAACUAAGGUAUUCAUAGUGUUCAUUCAUGGAUUCCUUUCAUCCGUGAAGCCUAAGAAUCAAGUUUUAAACUAUGAAUUAUGAUAUUCAUGUAAUGGGUUGAUUUUGUUCAUGUGGUUGUUGUUGUAUGAUUCCCAAGUUGAAAUCUUUAUGUGUUGUUCACGAAACAAUGAAAGUAUGUGAAUUAAAACUUGUGCAAUUUAGUUGAAUUAUGGUGUUUUGACGCAUUAAUUGAUAAUCAUACCUAUGCCCUAAGUGGUGCAUGCAAGGAGUUUGAUAAAAUGCCUAAGAUACUAGAAACCAUGCCCAAUAGCUAAAUUAUGACCUAAAUGAUGAAUGCAUGAUAUUCCCUUAUGAUCAAUAUGACUUCCAUGAUAUUAUUGUGCAUUAUGAUAGUUGAUGGAAUGCUCAUGAAACUAGAUUGAUGAACCUAUGACUUUGAUUAUAUGCAUUCCUACCAUGUACAAGAUUAUGAUAAACAUGUGUUCCAUGAAAUCCCAAUUUAUUGUAUUAUGAAUUGUUGAUGAUUGUCAUGUAUUCAAGAAAGUCAUGCUUUGUCAGUUUCCUUCUAUUGAGUCCUUGGGGUACUUGUACCCGAAAAUAUUAUUGUGUGCCUAGAGUCAGUGUCAUGUUGUCACGAUAUCCUUAGUCAAGCCCCGAUCCAUAGAAUUCAGUCAGUCAUGUGACUCAGGAAAGUUCAGAAAUUCAGUAAUCUUAGUAGUAUCUGUCAGUCCUCGAAAAUUAGUUAAAUCAGUUUGGUUCAGUCCAGUUUAAUCAUAUUCAGUGUCUAUUCAUAUGAGAGUAGGAUUUAGCACCGAGCAAACCCAAGGAUGGAAACUCACCUGUUAGUUUAGGGUGUGAUUCUUAGAAGCAAUCCUUGUGUUCCAGAGCUACGUAGCCAGGUAGGUUGAGAUAUCCAACCUGCCAGUUGAGGGUUGAUGAGGUGGAUUAACCUGCCAAUUUUGGGUUCCCACCAUUCUCAUUAGAGUAUCUGCCAGUUGAGGAUCACCCACGGCUUGUCCUUACCGGUGGCGCGGUAUUGAAACUCUUCCAAUUGGGGUUAUAAAUUGGAACGCAACUCAGUUAUAUUACUUAUUUGGGGCAUGUCGGUUUGAUGACUACUUCCCACAGUUUCAGUAACAUUAUCAGUAAAAGAACUUAGAUAGUUCUUCAAAUUUCUGGACUGUCAAAUACAGUCACCUCAACUCAAUAGGGAACUCAGAUAGUUUCAUCAAAUUCAGGCCUGUUAGAUACAGUCACUCAUGUUAUCAGUAUAUCAGUUAUUAGAAUUCAUGUUAUCAGUCAUAUUAGAUAUCAGUAACUCAGGUUAUCAGUAUUCAGAUUCAAAAAUCAUGUUAUUACGAUAUCAGUGUCAGUCAUUAUGUUUUAUGUAUGUGUUCUCACGCUCAUGAUAGUCAGUCUGUUAGUAUUAUUUCUCAUGUAUAUGAACCCCUUGCAUUCAGCCUACCUCACAUGCAUACCAGUACAUUCAAUCGUACUGAUACAUUCGCGCUAUGUGGUUUUAAUACCAUAGGUUCAAAGGCACGAGAUCCAGAGCGUCAGUAGCAGUCCAGUUCCAGCAAUCAGAAUUAGCAGUGAGUCCUCAUCCUUUGAGGACAUGGUUAUUACCUUAUCAUUUCAGUAUUCGAGACUUAGUUUAUUUUAGUAGUUGGAGUUAGUUGGGGACAUGUCCCAUCAACUCCUUAUUCAAAAAGUUAGAGGCUUUUCAGACUAUCAUGUUUCAGAUAGUUUAUUUUAGUUGUGUUGGGUAUUUCAUACCCCAUUAAAAUGUUGUGUUUUAUCAUAUUUGAACCUUAUGGCCUUCCAGUCUUUAUUUCCAUAUUUAUUCAAUAUAUUAUGUAGUGUACAGGUACAGAUAUCAGUCAUGGGUUAGCUUGUGGUUCUUCAGAGUCAUGAGUAUCGUGUAGCACUUUGGGUACCAAAUUUGGCUCGUUAAAAACUUAGUAUCAGACCUAAGAAGUCUGAAAGCAGCAUCUAGUAGAGUCUUGUGCAUGGGUGUUUGCGCGCCACAUUUAUGUACAUGAGGCUAUGAGAUGUUUUAGGAACAAUUUCCCUUAUUUCAGUAUUCAUGUCGUGCCAGUGAGCAUAAUCUCAAGUUAAACUCUCAGUCUAAUCCAUUUCUCCUCUUCAUUUACAGAACAUGCCUCCCAAGAGAAGAAAUCAGCCUGUCCAAGAAGAUUUCUUGGCCAAAAGUAUUUCUCAUGCGAAGUUUAGAGCCGCAUUCACUACUCUUGCUCAGUCAGUUACUGCUCAGAAUGAAUGACCAGUAGUUUUUUCGGCUAACCCAAUGGCCAAUUCAGCUAUAUCUAGGAUUUGGGACUUCACCCGAAUGAACCCUCCAUCCCUUUUUGGGUCUAAGUCAGAUGAGGACCCUUAGGAAUUCAUUGAUCAGGUUCAGAAGUUUACAGACAUCAUGAGGGUGAUUGCCGUUGAGAGUGAUGAGCUAGCUGCAUAUCAGUUGCAGGAUAUAGCUUACACUUGGUUCAAACAGUGGAAGUCAGAGAGGUCAGAUGAUGCAUGUCUUAUAGAGUGGGAGGAGUUUGUCACUGCAUUCUUAGAUAGAUUCUUUCCCCAAGAGCUGAGAGAGGCUAAGGUGCUAGAAUUUAUCAACUUCAGGUAGGGAAACAUGAUGGUGAAAGAGUAUUCUCUUAAGUUACUCAAUUAGCCAGAUAUUCUCCUCAUGUGGUUGCAGAUAGCAGGGCCAAGAUGAGUAAGUUUGUUUCUAGGUGAAUGAUAGUGUGGUGAAUGAGUGUAGGUCUGCGAUAUUGAAAAGUGACAUGACCAUAGCCAGGAUUAUGAAUCGUGCUCAACAAAUAGAAAAUCAGAAGAUUAAGAUGAGAGAGAAGCAGAAUAAAAGAGCAAGGUCAGGUAGUUUUAACUUUGCUCAGCCUAAGUCAGAAGGAGAAAACUGUUCUCAUUUUUGCCCUAAGUCAUUAGUUCCAGCUCUUUCAUCCUCUAGUGCCCCAGUAUCAAAAUUCAGAGACGGCAACAGAGAUAGAACGUCAGGCUCUCAGUCUCAGGGCAGUGUUAGCAGUGCCCGAACUAAUCCUCUUUGUCAGACUUGUGGCAAGCACCAUCAAGGUAUUUGUAGAGCUGGCAGCGACAUUUGUUUCAGAUGUGUCAAGCCAAGACACAGAGUUUGAGAGUGUCCUCAGACAGGUUCUUAUUGUCAGUAGAAUCGUUCUACAACUCAGUCUGGUCGCCCAAACCAGUAGGGCGCCACUUCCAGCACUACAAGUGGGCAAUGCCCAAAUAGACUCUAUGCUCUCCAGACCUGAAAAGAUUAGGAAAAUUCUCCUGGUAUGGUUACUGGUAACGUUACAGAUCUUUCAUGUGCACGUUUAUGCUUUGCUAGAUCCAGGAGCUUUCUUUUCUUUUAUUACUUCUUAUAUAGCAGUUGAUUUUGGAGUGAGUCACGAAAUUUUAGCAGAGCCCUUCUCAGUAUCUACCCCAGUAGGUAAGACCAUUAUUGCUCGGUGGGUAUACCAGAACUGCCCGGUCAUGAUAUUUUAGAAAGCCACUUCAGCAGACUUAGUCGAAUUAGAGAUGACUGGUUUCGAUGUCAUUCUCAUCAUGGAUUGGCUUUAUUCCUGUUAUGCCACAGUCGAUUGCAAAAAUAGAAUUAUUCAGUUUCAGUUCCCAAAUGAACCCAUCUUAGAGUGGAGGGGUAGUACUUCAGCUUUUAGAGGUCAGCUUAUUUUUUACCUUCGGGCACGGAAAAUAAUAUCUAAGGGAUGUGUCUAUCAUCUUAUUCAUGUUAAGGACACUAGUUCCGAAACUUCCAGUCUUAAAUCGUCCUAGUGGUUAAUAAAUAUUCAAAUGUCUUUCUUGAAGAUCUCUCAUGAAUUUCUCUCGAAAGGGAAAUAGACUUCGGCAUUAAUCUUCUUCCAGAUACUCAGCUCAUAUCUAUUCUGCCAUACAGAAUGGUACCAACAGAACUCAGAGAGAUGAAAGAACAGUUGAAGGACCUCCUAGAUAAGGGAUUCAUCAGGCCUAGUGUUUCCCCAUGGGGUGCACCAGUCUUGUUCGUGCGCAAGAAAGACGGUUCUCUCAGGAUGUGUAUUGAUUAUCAUCAUCUCAAUAGGUCACGAUCAAGAACAAGUAUCAUUUUUCCAGAAUCAAUGACUUAUUUCACCGACUUCAAGGUGAUAGUUACUUCUCCAAAAUAGACCUCAGAUCGGGCUAUCAUCAGCUCAGAGUCAGAGAAAGUGAUAUUCCAAAAAUAGCUUUUCGUACUCAGUACGGUCACUUUGAAUUCCUAGUUAUGUCCUUUGGCCUUACCAAUUCCACAGUAGCUUUCAUGGACUUGAUGAACCGUGUGUUCAAGCAGUACGUGGACAUAUUUGUCAUAGUCUUCAUAAAUGAUAUUUUGGUCUAUUCUCGCACUGAGCGAGAUCAUGCAGACCAUCUCAGAAUAGCACAUCAGACUCUCAAAGACCAUCAGCUAUUCACUAAAUACAUUAAGUUCGAGUUUUGGAUAAGGUAUGUAGCAUUCCUUGGUCAUAUAAUUUUCGUGAUGGCAUUAGAGUCGAUUCUCAAAAGACCGAAGCAGUAAGAAAUUGGCCUUGCCCCAUCUCUUCAUCAGAUAUAAGGAGUUUCUUAGGUUUGGAUGGCCAUUAUAGAUGGUUUGUUGGAGGAUUUUCAUCCAUUGUGUCCCCUAUGUCCAGAUUGACUCAGAAGAAAGUCAAAUUUCAGUGGUCAGAUCUUUGCGAGAAUAUUUUUCAGGAGUUGAAGACUAGACUCACUUUAGCUCUAGUUUUAGAUCCUCCAGAUAGUCUAGAUGGCUUUGUAUUUUAUUGUGAUGCAUCCAUAGUAGGUUUGGGUUGUGUCCUCAUGCAGCAUAGUAAGGUCAUAGCUUAGGCCUCCAGAUAGCUUAAGUCCCAUGAGAAGAAAUAUCCUACUCAUGGUCUUGAGUUAGUAGUCGUAGUAUUUGCCUUAAAGAUUUAGAGGCAUUAUCUAUACGUAGUUCAUGUAGAUGUGUUCAUAGACCAUAUGAGCCUUCAGUAUGUCUUUUCUCAAAAAGACCUCAAUCUUUAUCAGAGGAGGUGGUUAGAGAUAUUGAAAGAUUAUAACAUGAGUGUCUUUUAUCACUCGGGCAAGGCCAAUAUAGUGGCCAACGCUCUCAGUAGACUAUCUAUGGGUAGUGUUUCUCAUGUUGAGGACAGUAAGAAGAAGUUAGCUCAGGAAGUCCAUCAACUUAUCAGACUAGGUUUUCGCUUAGUCGAUACAACAUAGGGUGAUAUAUGGGUUCAGAGUAGUUCGGGAUCAUCUCUAGUGUUCGAGGUGAAAGAAAAGCAAGAUAGAGAUCCCAGCUUUGUCAAGAUAAAAGAGUCAGUCAAGGACCAGAAAAUAGAGGUUUUCUCCUAAGGGGGAGAUGGUGUCUUGCGUUGUCAGGGUCGUCUCUGUGUCCCAGGUAUAGAUGAAUUAAGGUAGCGAAUUCUGGCAGAAACGCAUGGUGCAUGAUACUCUAUUCAUCCAGGGGCUACUAAAAUAUACUGCGACUUACGGGAGAUCUAUUAGUGGAGUGGGAUGAAGAGAGAUGUUGCAGAGUUUGUGGCUAAGUGCUUUACAUAGAGUAUCAGAAGCUUAGUGGUCCCAUGUAGGAGUUCAUUAUUCCCACCUGGAAAUGGAAAGAAGUGAACAUAAACUUCGUGACGGGUUUUCCUCGAACUCAUAAUCAGCAUGAUUCAGUUUGGGUCAUUAUAGACAGGAUGACCAAAUCAGCUCAUGUCCUUCCAGUUCAUACCUCUUAUUUAACUGAGGAUUAUGCCAAACUUUAUAUCAGGGAGUUGGUCAGAUUGCACGGUGUUCCAUCAUCUAUUAUUUCAGACAGAGGUACCAGUUUACUUCUCACUUUUGGAAAGCGUUCCAAAAGGGUCUUAGUACCCAAGUCCAUAUCAGUACAUCCUUUCAUCCUCAGAUAGAUGGUCAAGCAGAAAGGACCAUUCAUACCCUAGAAGAUAUGCUACAAGAGUGUGCAAUUGAUUUCAAGGGUAGUUGGGAUGACCACUUGCCUUUGAUUGAGUUUGCAUACAACAACAACUAUCAUUCCAGUAUUAAGAUAGCUCCAUUCGAAACUCUCUAUAGUAGGAAGUGCAGAUCUCCAGUUGGGUGAUUUGAGAUUAGUAAGGCCUCAGUUAUAGGGCCUUACUUAGUAUUCAACGCCUUAAAAAAGUCCAGUUGAUCAGAUAAAGACUUCGGGUUGCUCAAAGCCUACAGAAGUCUUAUGCAGAUGUGCGCAGAAAGGAUCUCAAGCUUGAGAUAAGUGAUUUUUUCUAUCUAAAGAUCUCUCCCAUGAAGGGAGUGAAGAGAUUCGGCAAGAAAGGAAAGCUCAGUCCCCAAUAUGUCGUUCCCUUCAAGAUUCUCAAUCAUUUCGACAAGGUAGAUUAUGAGCUCGAGUUGCCUUCAGAUCUAGCCUCAGUUCAUCCAAUCUUUCAUAUCUCCUUGCUCAAGAUGUGUAUAGGUGACCUAUCAGUCGUAGUCCCUAUUCAGAGCAUAGAUGUUCAGAACAACCUCUUUUAUGAAGAGAUUCCAGUCAAAAUUCUAGACUAUUAAACUCAUAGACUGAGGAAUAAAGAAGUCCCUAUAGUCAAAGUUCUUUGGCGAAAUCAGUCCAUUGCGGGAGCUACUUGGGAAGCAGAAGUAGAUGUGUAAAGUACCCUUACCUCUUCUCUGCCAACUCAGACCAAGCUCAAGGUAACAGUUCUCCUUAAGUUUAUUUAGUUUCAUGUUCAGAAUCCCAUUAUAAAUUUGGUAUAAUACACCAUUGCAUAUUCAGUCACGCAUUCAUAUGUCAGUUCAAUUAUAUAAUCAUAUAUCAGAUAUGCAUUCUCAUUUUGAGAACCUCAGUUAUCAGGAAUUUCAAUCAUGUAUUCAUGAAUCAGUUAUCCAUGCAUCAGAUAUGCAUGUUCAGAAUUCAGUCAUGUCAGCCAUGAAAUUAUGUUCAGUUGUUUAUGCUUAGUAUUCACGUCAGUUAUCUUUUCUCCCCUCUUGUUCAGUCCCAUUCGGGGACGAAUGUUCCCAAGGGGGAGAUAUUGUAAGACCCCGCAAAAUCUUAUGUUGAUAAUCAGCUCUUUUAGCUCCUAAAAGCUCUUUAGAAGGUCCAACACUUAGAAUAUCUUAGCUAGGUAAGUUAAAUCAUCACGAGUAUUAACAGGUUUAUUUAAUAUCUUCAUAUUAUAAAUUUAACUGUCACGUGUCUUCUUAUGUAUAAAUGUCUGGUAACACUAAAUUUGGUGUGCAUGUGUUACAAAUCAUAUAAUAUUGUGUUCAAUAAUAUGAGUUGGUUUGUCACGAGUUUAACAAGUUUAUUAUGUAUUUUCAUAUUGUAAAUUUAACCAUCACGUGUCUUGUCAAGUAUAAAUGUCUAGUAAUACUAAAUUCAUUGUGCAUCCGUUACAACUCUUACAAUAUUGCGCUCACUAGUACACUUUGAGUUAUGCCUAUAAUUAAAUCUAUAAAAAAAAUAUUUAUGCCUUUUAUAAGUUUCAUAUGAAACUAGUUUCUCGACGCAUGCGUCACACGUGUAUGCCUAGUCACGCAAUACAAAUUCUGUUAAAUAUUAAUAAUACUCGUUGAUAUAAAAUUGAGUGAAAUAUCUAGUACCCCCAUAGUCUAACUUCCCGGGGAUCCUAUCCCCCCCUCCCCCUCCAACCUCAAUUCUGCGUAUUUUGUCACCAUUUUUUUACUGACAUGGCACCUUUUGUGAACCAUUUUAGAUGAUGUGACACCUUUGAUAUGGGACCUCAUUUUAUUUUAUAAAGGUGUCACUCAGCACAAAAGGGUGUCAAAAAUAUUCUAAAAUUGAGUUCGGUGGGGUAAUAGGACCCCUGCGAAGUUGAAGUUUGUUGUAACAACUUUGAUCAUAGUUCGAGGAGGUAUUGAAUGUUUAUCUCAAUAAAAUUUAGAUUAAGCAAAAUUGCACAUUUAUGUAACUAAUCAAUGCAGAUCAUUAUUUGGUGACAUCUUUAUCUAAUCAAUGCAGAUCAUUAUUUGGUGACAUCUUUAUCGAGAUAAAGAUGACUGAAUGUUGCCUAAUCUAUGAAGAUGAACAAUUAAACUUUCGGAUACACGUAUUAUUUAUACUAAGCAAAAGAUAUAUCGUCACCAUUUUUAUUAUAUCGUCAAUUUACAAUUAUCAUAACAACUUCACAACCAAUCGAUUCAUACUUUUAAGAAUUUCAGUCAUUUUUAGGAAAAUCCUCAUAUUAUAUAUAUAUAUAUAUAUAUUAUAUAUAUAUUAAUUCGUUCUUCUCCCAUUAGUGAUUUCUUUACCUUGAACCUCUUCCAAUUGCUAGUACUUUUAGAACAUAAUCAAUUUUUUAAUUAUAAUUUGCUAAUUAGUAUAUGUUAUAAACCUAAAAAGGUUUUAUGGGUAAAGGAAAAUAAGAUAUAGUAAAAUUAUAAGUUAGUUUUUUAGUUUUUGUACUUUUAUUAUGACUAGUCUAACAGCACGUGCCUCGCACGUGUAACAUUUGAUUAUUUAAAAUUAAAUAAUUAUAUUUAUUGCGAAAAUUUUUAAUAAAGUGUAAAAGUUCAAAGCACUUUUCAAAAAUCUUUCAUACUUUAAUAUAAUAAUGUAAACAUAAACAUAUAUACAUAUAUAUUUUGCCACCAGAAGUCCAAGUGAUUGAUGGAACAUUAUUUUUGCAUUUGCAAUCUAGUACGUCUUUCCGUUGUUGCCAUAUACUAAGAGAGACGCAUCAAUUUGAAUCAUAUUUGCAUUAUGAUUAUUUUUAUUUUUGUUUAUAAUUAAAAUCUUUCCUUAUGUUUAAAGUUAGAUCUUUAUAAAAUAUUAAUUGCAUUCUUACUCCGUACUUAAAUUUUUUAAAAGCUGGUACUUCUUAAACUUUUCUUAUUCUAAUGGUUUUAUAUUUAUUUAUAGAUUUUUCAAAUCUUCUUAAAAUCAAAUUUAGUUGACUUGGAAUUUUUAAUCUAAUGAAAAAGUAUUAAUUGUCAUUAAUUUUGAUGACUUUUAAUAAGAAAAGAUUUUACCAAUAUUUAAUUCAUUUUCAACUCUUAAAUUAGGAAAAAAAUAGUGAAAUUCUGAUGACUUCUAAUAAAAUAGAUUUUUGCUAUAAAUAUAUUUAAUUAGUUUUCAACUCUUAAGUAUUAGGAAAAUAUAGUGAAAAGACGAUUUUGUCUAAAACAAAGACUUUUAAUGAAGGACAAAAAGUUCAAACAAUAUUUCGAAGGCCCUUCACACUUACUCUUUAAUAUAAUAAUAUAAAUAUAAAUAAAUAUUUUACAUCAUCACUUUUGUGUUUGUUAUAUAUAUAUAUAUAUAUAUAUUACAUCAUCACUUUUGCGUUUGUCAUGCUACCUCUUUCCCAGAGACGCUUUAACUUGAAUCAUACUUGUGGUACGGUUAUUUUUUAUAUGUUUAAAAUUUUUUCUUGUUUUUAAAGUCAAAUCUUUACAAAAUCAUUAAUUAUAUUCUUACUACUUACUUAAAACUUUUAAAUAUUUGGUACUUCUUAAAUUUUUCUUAUUCUAACGCUUUUAUAUUUAUUUCUAGAUUUUUCAAAUCUUCUUGAACUCAAAUUUAAUUAAUUUAGAAUUUUUAAACUAAUAAAAAAAUUAUUAGUUGUCAUUAAUGUUGAUGACUUCUAAUAAACCAUAAAUAUAUUUAAUUAAUUUUCAAUUCAUAAAUAUUAGAAAAAAUAGUGAAAGGCGUUUUUGUAUAAAACAAAGAUUUUUAAUCAAGAAUAAAAAAUUCAAACAACAUUUCUAUAGCCCUUUACACUUUUAAUAUAUAUUAGAUAUAGAUAUAUAUAUAUAGAUAGAUAGAUUAUAGAUUAUAGAUUUAUAGAUUAUAGAUAAUUAAAAAAAUAACACACAAUGUAACGCUCUAUCCCGCAAUCUCAUUUAAAUAAUCAAAGUAAUUAAAAUAUAUAUUGCACAUUUUCCAGCACCCUAAAGACCGUUUUUAGCUAAAAACAUGGCUUUGGAGAAUCCUUUUUUUCUUUUUCUUUUUAUCUUGCAUUAAUAUGCUACACAUGAAAUAGGCUGGGUUUUCUGCAUAUAUUUUUCACAAAUUAAACUUCAUCACAUACAAUCGAGUAUAUUUCUUUUUUGAAAAGAAAAUAAAAGAUUAACCAAUUCAUUCCUGAUCAUCAAAAAGAAAUAGCAUCCCUUGCGAUAUAGAGGAGGAAUGUAGCAGGUAAGUAUACAUCUUAAGAAUUAGAAGGAACAAAACCUGUAUCAAAUCAUGAUUUAGUUAUAGUAACGUAGUUGUAAGGCACUUAAUACCUCAAUAUAAAAAAUAUAAAACAUGACUCUUACAAUUACAAUUUAGAACACAUAAACUGAUCACUUACCUUAUCAAAAAGAUUUUUAGCACUAACCUUAUUUUCCACAAUUAAUUCAAGAUCUUCUCCAAUUGAGAAGUUUGAUGUCUUUCUUUCCCCGAAUAUCUAUCACAAAUAGAGAAGAUAAAUAGUAAAACACAUAAAAUUAAUUUUUUAAAAUGAUAAAAUAAAAACUAUUCAUAAAACACUUCAGAAAGAUAUCAAGAAAAUAAAAACAAAACUAAAGUCUUAGAUGUAGCAUCAAUCCUAAAAAAUGGUAAAAUAAAAUUACAUGAAUCUAUAUUAUUAACUAAAGCGAAGCAAAAGUGAGUUGAUGAAAUGAAAUUGGCAUACAAGAAAACCUUUAGGACAAAGCCUAUUUUAGUUGGAAAAUGAUUCUAUUGACCCAUUUUGGGGGUCUAUAUCUAUAUUUUUUUGGGGGGGGGGGGGAACAAGUCUAUUAGUUAGAAAAGGAUUUUGCCUAUUUUUUGGGACUUAAUGCUGCUGCACGUACAAAAAACAAAAGUAAAAACAAAGGCACGGAAUUUAAUCAUCAUACCAUAAACUUAGUAAUUUAACAGAAAAAAAUAUUAUUUUAAUGAAUUAAGGAAAUAUUUUAUCAUAAAUAUAUUUAAUUAAUUUAUAAUUUUUAAAUAUUAGAAAAAAUAGUGAAAAGACAAUUUUGUCUAAGACAAAGACUUUUAACGAAGGUCAAAAAGUUCAAACGCUAUUUCUAAGACCCUUUACACUUUUAAUAUAUUAUAGAUAUAGAUUAUAGAUUAUAGAUUAACAUUUCAAUUGAUUUACUAAUCUAGAUAAUAGAAAGCUUCAUUAAAGACGAAAGAUGAAACAAAGAGAAAACUUGAUUUAAUAACAUAGGAAUUUCAUAACCUUUUUUUGUUUUUGGAACAAAGAUAAAAGUUCAUCAUAUUAAAAGGUGUAACUGGUCAAGUCUCCUCUAGUCACAACUUUAUAUUCAAGAACUUCAAUUAUCACCUCCGUGAUAAUUAUGAGUUCAAGAACUCAUCUCUUCUAGAUCAAGGGCAACUUCUGAAAUGAACUUGAAUUGCUCGGCUUGAACAUCACCUUUUAUUUCAUUUUUAAUUUUGUCCAACCGUAAUUUAUAUGCCUCAAAUUGCUUCAACUUGUUCUCCAAUAUGUGUUUAUCUGUUGGCAGUUCUGAGCCAAGGUCUUUCUCCUUGAAUGCUUGUACUUCUUUACGAAGAUCUUCAAAUGCCUCAAAGACAUUUGUUUUGCUCAUAUCAGUAUGAUUCUGUUGGCUAUCGUUUUGUUUUAAUUCAUGAAACUUAUCAAUUAUUUUUUCUAUACUUGGGGAGCCAUAGGAAUGUGGUUUUCCAGCUUGUGUAAAGAGAAUAAAACCGACAUCUGCUCCGGUAAGAUUUGAAUAGUCUUUUGCUUUCUUGCUCAAGCCAUUUUUUCUUUUUGAAAAAGCAACUGUGCGAGCUUCUUUAGACUCAAUCAAAUUCAUUUCGAUCUUUUGCCUACCCUUUCCACCCCUUUUAUCCAUUGCGAAAUAAAUAAUUAGAGAAGAGAAAAGAUGUGUUGGUUGAAUAAGUCUGAGCAAAGUAGCUAUACAAGUUGGUUUGUCACGAGUAUUAACACGUUUAUUGAAUAUUUUAAUAUUAUAAGUUUAACCAUCACAUGUAUUGUUGUGUAUAUUUAUUGUGUUCACAUUACGAGUUGAUUUGUCACGAGUAUUGACAGGUUUAUUUAAUAUUUUUAUAUUAUAAAUUUAAUCGUCAUGUGUUUUGUCAUGUAUGCUUAUUGUGUUCACAUAAUGAGUCUGUUGUCACGAGUAUUGACAGGUUUAUUUAAUAUUUUCGUAUCAUUAGUUUAAUCAUCACAUGUCUUGUCAUGUAAUAUUUUCAUAUUAUAAGUUUAAUCAUCACGCGUCUUGUCAUAUAUACUUUUUGCGUUCACAUUAUGAGUUUGUCAUAAGUAUUAACAAGUUUAUUGAUAUUUUCAUAUCAUAAGUUUAAUUAAUCAUCAAGUGUCUUGUCAUGUAUAUUUAUUGUGUUCACAUUUUGAGUUGGUUUGUCACGAGUAUUGACAGGUUUAUUUGAUAUUUUUAUCUCAUAAGUUUAAUCGUCACGUGUUCUGUCAUGUUUGCUUAUUGUAUUCACAUUAUGAGUUUGUUGCAUCGAGUAUUGAUAGGUUAAUUUAAUACUUUCAAAUUAUAAGUUUAAUCAUCACGUGUCUUGUCAUGUAUUAUUUUCAUAUUAUAAGUUAAAUCAUCACGAGUAUAAACAGGUUUAUUUAAUAUCUUCAUAGUAUAUGUUUAAUUGUCACAUGUCUUCUCAUGUAUAAAUGUCUAGUAACACUAAAUUCGUUGUGCAUGUGUUACAACUCAUACAAUAUUGUGUUCACUAAUAUGAGUUGGUUUGUCACGAGUUUAACAAGUUUAAGUAUUUUCAUAUUAUAAAUUUAACAAUCACGUGUCUUGUCAAGUAUAAAUGUCGACUAAUACUAAGUUCAUUGUGCAUCUGUUUCAACUCUUACAACUUUGCGUUCACUAGUACACUUUGAGUUAGGCCUAUAAUUAAAUUAUUCUAUAAAAAAUAUUUAUGCCUUUUAUAAGUUUCAUAUGAAACUAGUUUCUCGAUGCGUGCGUCACACGUGUAUGCCUAGUCACGCAAUACAAAUUCUGUUAAAUAUUAAUAAUACUCGUUGAAAUAAAAUUAAGUGAAACCUCUAGUACUCCUGAACUAUGAUUAAAUUUGCUACGACACACUCAAACUUUAUAGGGGUUCUAUUACCCCCUCCCCCCCCCCCCCCCCCUCCCACAAAAAAAAAACCCUCUAUUUUGCGUAUUUUUGUCUUCACAUUACGAGUUGAGUUUCCACGAGUAUUGACAGGUUUAUUUGAUAUUUUUAUAUUAAAAAUUUAAUCGUCACGUGUUCUGUCAUGUAUGCUUAUUGUGUUUACAUUAUGAGUCUGUUGUCUCGAGUUUUGACAGGUUUAUUUAAUAUUUUCAUAUUAUAAAUUUAAUCAUCACGUUUCUUGUCAUGUAAUAUUAUCAUAUUAUAAGUUUAAUCAUCUCACGUCUUAUCAUGUAUACUUUUUGUGUUUACAUUAUGAGUCGGUUUGUCACGAGUAUUAAUAAUUUUAUUUAUAUUUUCAUAUUAUAAGUUUAAUCGUCACGUGUCUUGUCAUGUAUACUUAUUGUGUUCACAUAUUAUGAGUUGGUUUGUCACGAGUAUUGACAUGUUUAUUUAAUCUUUUUUAUAUUAUAAGUUUAAUCGUCACAUGUUUUGUCAUGUAUGCUAUUGUGUUCAUAUGAUGAGUCUGUUGUCACGAGUAUUGACAAAUUAAUUUAAAACUUUCAUAUUAUAAGUUUAAUCAUCACGCGUCUUGUCAUGUAUACUUGUUGUGUUCACGUUAUGAAUCGGGUUGUCACGAGUAUUAACGGAUUUAUUUAAUGUUUUCAUAUUAUGAAUUUAAUCAUCACGUCUCUUGUGAUGUAUUAAUGUCUAAUAACACUAAAUUCAUUAUGUAUGCAUUACAACUCAUAUAAUGUUAUGCUCACUAAUAUGAAUCAGUUUGUCACGAGUAUUAACAGGUUUAUUUUAAAAAAAUUAUAUUAUAAAUUUAAUCAUCACGUAUCUUGUUAUAUAUAAAUAUCUAGUAACACUAAUUUCAUUGUGCAUGCCUUACAACUUAUAUAACAUUGUGGUCACUAGUAACUUUAAGUUAGGCCAGUAAUUAAAUUAUUAUUCUAUAAAAAUAUUUAUAUCUUUUAUAUGUUUCAUAUGAAAUAUGCAAGGUAUGAUUUAACACUGAUCCAUUUUAUAUAAAAUAUGCACGAUAUGAUUUAACACUGAUCCAUUUCGAUACAACAACUUAGAUUGCAACAUUUGGUGGCUUAACUUAUUCUUAUUUCUUUGUUUUUAUUCUUCUAUCUUUGUUUAAAAAUCAUUAAAAUCAAACCUAAUUUUCAAUUGAAUGGUUAAUAUUUAUUGCAAUGAUUUUUAACUUAUUAUUAUUUGACUUGAUGAUUUAUUAAAAACAUCCUUUCUAUAAUCGUAAGUUAAAAAUAAGAUUACAUAUACACCAUUCUUUUUAGAUCUCACUGAUAAAAUUAUACUAAAUAUAUUAUUUUCAUAAAUAAUUAGAGACCAAAUUCAUCAUAGGAGAAAACAUAAGUAAAUGAAACACUACUCGAACCUCCAGGAAUAAAAAGAUAAAUAUAUUACUAUAAUUAUAAUUAUUUUAUUACUAUUGAGAACAAUUCACAAAAUGAAUAAAAUUAAAGAAUUAAUUAGUUGACAAAAAAAUGUUCCUAAAAAAGUUUAAGCAUCUGAGGGGGCAUUUCAAUGACGUCCAUUAACAAAGCUCUUGGCUAGAAACUUAUGGGCUGAAUCAUAAUCCAAUUCACGGGCCCAUGAUAGGCUCAUUACAGCUGCUGCUCCUGGGCCUGAACAUUUGUAUACUCCAAAAAAUGUAGUCCUGGAAUUGUCAUAAAGCCCAAAUCCACGUUAAGAUAUUCGAAGCCCAAAAAGCAAUUUGCUUGAAAAAGGGGAGACUAACACAAAUAGUCAAUUUUGGAAUCAUUAUUUAAGUCGUAGUCACAGAGUAAAAAAAUUUAGGGCAAAAUUCAGAAAUAACAUAUUUAUUCCCUUAAUUAUGAGUUUCAUAGCAACACUUUCAUAAUUACAUAAUAUAACAAGUUGUAUUUUGAAUUUUUGUAAACUGUUGCUACAAAAAUACAACCUGCCCUUAUGAUCGAUAUGUAUUUUGUAUUUUUGCAAACUGUUGCUACAAAAAUACAAAUACAUACAAAUACAUAUGCCACAAAAUGUAAUUUGAUUAAAGUAUUAUUGUUUUUUGUAAUUUAAUACUUAAAUAUGCUACUUUAUGUAUUUUUUCCAAAAAUUUAAGUACAACCAUUUUGAAGUUGAACCAAAUUCAGGCAUACGUGAUUGAAAUUGUAGAAAAUUGUGUAUGAAUUUCUUCUUUUAAUAUUUUCAUCUGAAGCUUAUUUGCUGAGGUCAAACUUCAAAUAUUUAUUAGGCAGGUCAAACUUUAUCACAUAUUUGAGUUUUUUUUUGUUUUUGAACUACCAAUAUUUAUUGUUGUCGAUGUUUACAAGUUUUCUAAUAAUACCUACUUGAUUUUACACCUCCUCUCUCUCCCUCCCUUUUUUUUUGUUCCUAUAUAUAUUUAUAUGUCUGAGCCCCCAUCCACUCCAUCCCCACCCAAAAUAUAUUUCGCUCCUAAGAGCCGCUAUAACUAUCCAAGAACCACCUUGUUUUUUCGUAAAAAAAAAAAAAGAGUGAAAGCAAUAAACUCAAUUUUCAUAUUUGAAAUAUAAGAAUCAAUUUGUCAAGUUUGCACCUAUAGUCAUUUAAUCAUCAAAAUUCAUAACUAACUACAGACGCAAUAAAAUUGAAAAAUAUAAUUGGGUCUGAAAUGUAUUGCACAAAUAAGAUACCUUGGUGUAUGAUAGAAGAGUCUUACUAAUCAUCCCAACCAUCAUGAGCCACAACAUUAUCAAAGUAUGUGUACGAAUAGACAAUUCUAAAAUACUGAUCCAGAACCACUACAACCCAAGAAUGCAAAUUCAAUGUUCUCAUCUGGAGAUCUUCUAUCUAGGCUGUAAUGGAUCCAAAUCUCGUGGCUAUUGAAUGCAACUCACAGCCUUAUGCUAAUAAAAGCAAUUUAGCACAUUUCUCUUUUGAUAGUAAAUUUCACAAAUAGUCAUAUUUUAAUUCCUUGAAAAAAAUAGUUACUCCCUCUCUUUAAAAAAAGAAUAAUUUAUUUUAAUUUUGAUACGAAAUUUAACAAAAAAAAAAUGGUUUUUAAAUUUUAUAAUCUUUAAGUAAAAGACAUAUCAAAUAUACUAAAAUAUUUCUUAAUCUCGUGGUCUUAGUCAUGCCAUGCCAAGCGAGAAAGUUACAAUUAAAGAAUUAUUAAAAAGGUAAUUAGUUUUUUUUUUUUUCUUUUCUAUAGCCCAAAUAUAAAACACCCAAAAAAAAAAAAGGAAACACUUGAAAACAGUAAACACUAAACUAACUACAAAUGAAAAUAUGCUCGAUUAGGAAAUUGAAACGCUACUGGAGCACCACUUGGAAGAAGACAACCGAGGAUAAUUGAUGAGCCAGCUUCUCGACGCCAAAAUAUAGAAGAAACACAAGCAAUCGUUGCCCCUAGCCACAGAUUCGACAUGAAAAAACAACUCAAAGGGCUUGGAAUGAUUUCAUCCAAGACGCUUACAAGUUCACAAGUGCCAUGAAAUCAAUACUAAGGAAGACUUCUUCAGCUCUUUGUUGGAUUUCAAGCCAAAUCUGCUUAUAUUAGGUAACAAUAAUUUGCGAUAUCACACUAGAUCUUGAAAAUUUCUUAAAAUUUGAGUCGUUAACUAUUGUUCCUUUCCAACAGAUUGAGCCUCGAGGCAAAGCUAAUACCACUGUUAGGAGAGGGGCUAUAGCUAAUUCAUCAUUUUUUCAAGAAAUAGUUGUCAAUCCCUAGCUGGUAAUAUUACAUUGGUACCCUUAUAUCUUGCUAUUCGCCAUAUUCUUCUGUUGUCAUAAUUUGGUUGAUCAUUGUUGGUUGUUAUUGCAUUUACUGGUUCUGCAAUUAUGAUUGCUCAUGACGCAGUAUUAGUUGUUGCUCUGUUUGUGUUGCUGCAUCGUACCAUUUAUUUUGACACUUCUGUACUCUGAGAUUAGGAAUUUGCAUUUUUUCCAUAUUGAUAAUCUUUCUUCCUUGUGACGGAACCUCCUGGAAAUUGUAAAAUCUUAGGGAACCUGCAAAAUGAACACCCAGGUUAGCGAAAAAAUCAGCAAGCGGAGGAAGUGUUAUUUUAGAGUUUAUUACUUCUGUGUUACGUAUUCUAGAAAAUGUAGUUUAUUGGGUUCUGAAUUAUACAUGUUAAAGAAAUAUUUCAAUAUACAUAUGUCGUACCCUGACACAAACAUAUAUCCCGCCCAGGAUUGUUGAUUUGUAAUAGAGGCGGAUCAGAAUUUAAAUUUUCUAGGUUCAACUUCUGAGGUCCUUAGCAGUAACCCUAUCGUACUUUUAACAUACGGACUCAUAACUACUUCUUAGUGUAACUUUAGCGAAUUUUCACACAAAUAUGUAUAUUUCUUGUCGAAAAUAUGAGUUCAUGUAUAUUUCGUGCCGAAAAUACUAAGUUCACAUGAAUCCAAUACCGACGACAAAGUUCUACUAUUUACUGGCAAGAGAAUUAAUAUCAUGUUCAUUCUUUGGAGAGAUAAUUAAUAUUUCCUUUUAACUACAUUUUUCACACAUUUAAAAAUAUAUUUUCUAUAACUAUAAUACAUAUUAUCUGGUUUUUAAAUACUGUUUUUUUUUUUUUUUGCUAACUGAAGCAUUUAAUUGAUAAUAGAAGAAGUUUCAAAUUCAUUGUGGAGUUGAAAACAUAAGCAUACUUUAAGAGAAUGUUAAAGAAUCUGCAAUCGGGGACCUAGUUAUUUUAUACAUAAACAGUGAAUUAGUAUCACAGUUUACUGGUAAAGUUACUACCAUGUGACCAGGUCACGGGUUCAAGCCUUGGAAAUGCAAGGUAAGGCUGCGUACAAUACUCCCCUGUGGUGGGGCCCUUCCCCGGACACCGUGCAUAGCGGUAGCUUUAGUGCACUGGGCUGCCCUUUAGUAUCAUAGUUUACUGCAUAAGCACUCAAUAUUCUACAAACUUUACUAAUCUCUAAUUAGGCGUGAGCAUUUAAAUAAUGGAAAAAGUAAUCCUCCUUUUGUUCAAACUGCAGACAUCAACAGACAGAUUCCAGCUUUAUCAAAUCUGCGCAAAUUAUCUCACUUUUUUGAAAAAUUUCUUGUUACUGUUAGUACUAUUAUUAUCUAUCUUUUCAAUGCAACCUAAUAUUUUAAACCAAAUUGUUUACUUUAUGCUUACCGUAACUUUAAAAGAUUGUUCAAGACCACGUACAACUCGUUACAUGCGCACCUUAUACAUAGAGCGACCGUUAUAAGACAUGUUACAUGUAUACGUACCUUAUACAUAGAGCGGCCAUUGCCAAAAAUGAAGUUAAUAGAACCCUCAAUGUAACAUUCUUUGAAGUAAUGGCGACCAGCGUUGUCACAGAGAGUGUCUUGUGCGCCAAAGAAUCCACAGCCGGAGAAAUACGCCUUGUCGCCGGAGAUCCGAAAUGCCAUUUCUUGCCAUCUUUGCAUCCCCGGUAAUGGUGCUGGUGCUGUGUUCUACCAAAAAAAAAAAAAAUCUUUUCAAUUUUUUAACAAUUUUAAUAUUGUGAUGGCAUUUCAACUUCAUAUUACACUUUACAUUACAUUACACUUAUAUAUAAGUGAAGGUUUGAUUGCACUACCAAGGAUAGUUUCGUAAAUAAUAUCGAUAAUAAUGGCAAAUGUGUAUUUUUACAUGUGUCUUUUCCACUUCACACUAUUUUCUCCCUUUGAUUUUUACUUUCCCUAUUCAUUUCUUUCCCUUCCAUUUCUUCUUUCAGCAUAAUUACCAAAACACCCAAAACAUUCUUCAAAAAAAUUCUCAAAUUUUUUCUCCAGCUAAUCUUCAAAGAGCUUUACUAAAAUUCCUGUAUAUACAACUGUAGUAAAGUUCGUGUAUGAAUAUAUAAAGUUAUCUGAGUUUUGCUUUUGCUGUUUACAAAAUAACGAUUUGUGUUGUUAAUCUUUCAAGCACCUGGUACAGUCUUAUUUCUCUUUUAUUUUAUUUUUUUGGUGAAUUUUGUUAUUUUUUUUGAAGUUGUAUGUGUUUAUAUAUAUUGCAUGUAUCUGGGUUUUAAGUUGGGUACAAGUUUUCUCGAUUUUGAUUAAUAAUAUGCAUCUGUGUUUUGAUUUUUGUGGUUGCACGUGUCAUGAACAAAGACUAUAUAGACAAUGAUAUUUUUCCCUAUUUUUUCAUAAUUUUUCCUUUGGACCAGUUACCAGCUCGGUUAACUUUCAUUUUUGUUGAUUUUUCGAUUUUGCAUGUGUUGUUGUUCAUCUUCUCCUAUUUUGAGUUUUUGAUUCUGCCAAAAUUUUUCUUUCAGAUCAAUUACCAGCUGUUUUAACUUUCAUUUUUAUUGUUUUUUGGAUUUUUCAUAGACUGCGUACAUCUUACUCACCCCAGACCUCACUAUGUGAGAAUACACUGGGUUUGUUGUUGUUGUUGUUUAUUUUCUCCAAUUUUGAGUUGUUGAUUUAGAAUAUAUUUUUAUAUUGGUCUGUGUUUUGGUUUUUGUGGUUGUAUGUUUUGUGGACUAAGACUAACUGUUGAGUAUUGUAAUACACAUGUUAAUCAAGAAUAUUGUGUCAAUGUAUAGUUUGUUAGUUAAAUGCUCAAAGUUAGUUAUAGGUUAAAACCCAGUAUCGGAAACAACCUCUCUACUUCUUUAGAGGUAGUGGUAUGGACUGCGUACACUCUACACUCCCUGGACCCCACGAUGUGGGAAUAUACUGGGUUUGUUGUUGUUGUUGUGAAAUACCACUUAAUGUACAUUGAAGAUAAUGAAGAAAUAUACAAAAAUCUAUUCAUCAAGAAUCUCUCUUUUUAAUUUGUGUAUUCUAAGUCAUUGAUACUUAGUAUAAUUACAUGGUAUCAGAGCAUGCAUGCUAGAUUACACUAGCUGGAUAAAGUUCGAUUCUGUAAUUGUGAAUGAGAUUCAACUGUAGAUCUUAGUAGUAAGUUGUAGCUGGUUCUUGAGAUCAAGGUUUCGAAGCUUGUGGCAUAAACUGCAAAAAUGGUGAAUGAAAUUGGUACUGAAGCUGCAUGAUCUUCAAGAACAUCAAUAACUGCGUUGGAUUAUAAUCACCCUCUCUUCCUCAGUCCUUCAGAUGUAAGUGGAAUUUAGAUAAUUUCUUUCCAAUUAACAGGUGUUGAGAAUUUUUCUAUCUGGUUUAGAUCUAUGCGUAUCGCCCUGUUAAGAAGGAAUAAGUUAGGUAUUUGCUCUAAAGAUAAAUUUUCAACUGAUCUGGGAAGCCACUGGGAUAGGGUAAAUGCAAUUGUCCUAUCUUAGAUUAUGAAUUUUGUCUCUAAAGAACUUCUAGGAGGAAUCAUGUGUGCAUUAGUUGUGUUGUCUGGGCAGAGCUGUAUGAAAGAUUUCACAAAAUAGAUGGUGCAAGAACUUUCAAUUUACACAAAGAAAUUGCAACCCUUUCUCAAGGGAAUGCAUUUCUGUCUUCUUAUUUCUCAAAGUUGGAAGACUUGUGGGAAGAAUUUGAGGCCCUAGUGUCCGCAUCUUGAUGUGAUUGUGACAAGUCCAAAGAGUAUGUGCUUUAUCUACAAAAACUGACACUGUUUCAGUUUCUGAAGGAUCAAAUGAGUCGUACACACAGGCAAGUAGCCUAAUGUUACUCAUGACCUCUCUUCCUACUGUAAAUUAGGCAUAUGCUACAGUCAUAAGUGAUGAAAGUCAUAAAGCUACAACAAUUCAUGCUGGGAUCUUGGGAACUAGUCCUGUUGUUGUGUCUGGAAAUAACUGAGCUGGCAAUGUACUCAAGACAUGGAAAUAGUGGGAGUAAUCCUCAGAAGUUUAAGAAGAAUUACAACCUUCAAUGUGAUUUCCGCAAAUUGAAAGGACAUACUAGAGAGACUUGCUGGAAACUUGUUGGUUAUCCAAAUGAUCACAAGUUCAAGAAGAAGUCUAGGAUGGAAGGUAGCAAUGCAGCUUGUAAUGUUUCUCUUGAUACACAACUCAAUCAUCAUGGUCUAGGAUCAUGUAAUCAACUUGCAGGGAAAGGCUUUCAGUCUUAUGAUAUAGGAAUUCAAGCUGGUUCUGAUGUGCAGAUGAAUCAAAUCAGUCAAAUGGGAAGUGUACCAUUCACUAAAGAGCAAUAUGAGCAAAUCUUGAGAAUGAUUAAUAACAACAACUUUGGCUCACAUGCAAGAGAAUCAGAAAAUGCUGGCAGCACAUCUAAUGCAGGUAUUAGUGCUUUCUCAGCAUCUGUUAAGUCCAGAGAAUGGAUUAUAGAUUCAGGGGCUACUAAUCACAUGGUAGAUGAUUUAGAUUUACUCCUUGGACACUCUACAACAAAGUCAGACACACCAAGAGAGGUAUAUUUGCCAAAUGGUGGUACUACUAAAAUAACACAUGUGGGAAGUAAUUGCUUAUCAAAAGAUAAUGUGGUAACUAAUGUAUACCACAUACCGGAUUUUCAUUACAAUUUGUUGUCUGUAUCACAAGUGACCAAAGAAUGGCAAUGUUCAGUAAAUUUUUUCCUUGAUUUCUGUGUCUUCCAGGAAAGGUGAGGGGAUCGGUAAGCCUGCUGGAGGAUUAUAUCUACUGGUUGGAUAGCAAGACAAUGAGAUUUCACAGCAUGCAACUAAUAAAGUGACAAAUGGUGGCAUGGUGACAAGAAGUAAUGAUGACAUAGACCUUUGGCACAGAAGAUUAGGUCAUGUGUCUACUCAUGCUUUUAAGAAAAUAGUUACUUCUGAUAUUCAAAGUAUAGAAGAUAGAAUAAGGAAAUGUACUAUGUGUCCUUGUGCAAAACAAGCUAGAUCUUCUUUUCUCUAAAGCAAUGUUCAGAGUACAUGUUAUUUUGAUCUUAUGCACAUGGAUGUGUGGGGACCUUAUAAGAUAACAACUAUGAAUGACAAUAUUUUUUGACAGUUGUGGAUGAUUUCUCAAGAUUUACUUGGGUCUUUCUUCUUAAAUUCAAGACUGAUGUGUACAUUCAGAUCAAACAGUUUCUUACAUAUGUUAAAACAAAGUUUGGUUAGGUUUUUAAAGUAGUAAGAAACGAUAAUGGAACUGAGUUAAACUCAGUAUGUAGUAACUUUUUCAAUACAAAUGGCAUCAUACAUCAGACAACCUGUGCUUAUACACCUUAGCAAAAUGAUGUUGCUGAGAGAAAGCACAGGCGCAUCCUAGAAGUCACAAGAGCAGUUAGGUUUCAGGCUUCUAUUCCCAUACAUAUUUGGGGUUAUUGUGUGUUAGUUGCAGUGCACAUUAUUAAUAGGCUACCUAGUUCGGCUAUUGAUUAUCAAGUUCCUUAUGAGAGGUUAUAUAGUAAGAAAGCCAGCUAUGAUCACUUGAGAGUGUUGGGAUGUCUAUGUUAUGCUAAAGUGCUGAAUGAGCAUGACAAGCUUAUGCUUAGAGCUAGAACCUUUGUGUUGAUAGGGUUCUCUAACACACUGAAAGGAUAUGUUCUCUAUGACAUAUCUAGCAAAUCUGUGCUGAAUGAGCAUGACAAGCUUAUGCCUAGAGCUAGAACCUUUGUGUUGAUAGGGUACUCCAACACACUGAAAGGAUACGUUCUAUAUGACAUCUAGCAAAUCUGUGUGUAGAGAUAUUUCAUUUGGGGAAGAUGUAUUCCCAUUUAAAGUAAACAAGGAUCAAAAUAAGUUGCCUGUUCAUAUAUUUCUAUUGGAGGAUCAAUGUCCAGUAGUAGGUGAUGUUGUGACACCUCUGCAGAUUUCAGUAACUGUGACAUCUCAAGGAAUAACUCAACUAAUCAACAAGAGCAACAUUUGCAGGUUGUUCCUACUCUGCACAGUCUAUAACUAAGGUGGAUCAAAGAAGAUCAACUAGAAGUCAAAGGCUUCCUGACUCACCCAACCAACAAGUGCAACAAGAGACUUCUAUAGCUAAGAGGACAGAAAUUCAGGCACCUACAUGUCGGGAUCAGAAGAGAUCAACCAGAAAAAAUCACCUGUGUGGAUGACUGAUUUUAUCACUACUGGCAAGACCAAAAAGGUACCUUAUGAUCUAGGAAACUACUUAUGACAAACUAUCUUCUCAGUAUAAAGCCUAUGUUGCAAAUUUAUCUUCUAUUGUUGAACCUACAAGUUACUAUGAAUCAUGUAAGGAAUCAAGAUGGGUAGAGGCUAUGAAGGAGGAGAUAGCAGCUCUUACUUCUAGUCACAUCUCGGAUAUAGUGUCCUAACCUAAGGUUUAAGAAGCCUAUAGGUUGUAGGUUGAUAUACGGAGUUAAAUAUAAAGCCAAUGGCGAAGUAGAAAGGUUUAAGGCUAGACUUGUAGCAAAAGGAUAUGGUCAAAGAGAAGGCAUUGAUUACAAAGAAACCUUUUCUCCAGUUGUAAAAAUGAAGAUCGUUAGAACAAUACUGGCUACUGCAGCAAGAAGGAAGUGGUUUGUUCAACAAAUGGAUGUGUAUAAUGCUUUCUUAAAUGGUGAUCUAACUAAUGAGGUGUACAUGGAACUACCUCAGGGAUUUGCUAGUUAGGGGGAGAAUGCAGUGUGCAGACUAGUCAAAUCCUUGUAUGGACUAGGGCAAGCUCAUAGAUAGUGGAAUAACAAGCUAUCAGAAACUCUACUUAAGUAUGGUUUCAGUCAAAGUAUAUAUGAUCCAUCACUGUACAUCAAGAAAACUACUGAAGGAAUUACUUUUGUGUUGGUAUAAGUUGAUGACAUGUUAAUUACUGGUGACAGUCUUAAGUUGAAGAAACAAAGGUAAACUUGCAACAAAGUUUCAAGAUGAUACAUCUGGGAGAGUUAAGGUUCUUCCUUGGAAUUGAAUUUGCAAGGUCUGAUAAGGGAAUAUUAAUGCAUCAGAGGAAGUAUGCAUUAGAAUUGUUAUCAGAAUUAGGAUUAAUAGCUGCUAAACCUAUCUCUACACCUAUGGACUACAACAUUAAACUAACCUGUAGGCAGUUUGAUGAUCAUGUGAAACAAAUUCAGCUAGAUGAAGAGUAGUGAGGUAUGUAAAGAAUCAACCAGAUCAAGGUGUGUUAUUGUCCAGUGAUCCAAAUGAGGAAGUUAGUGCCUUUUGUGAUGCUGAUUGGGCACUGUGUCCUCAAACUAGAAGAUCUAUUACUGGAUACUAUGUGAAGAUGGAAAAGUCUGUGGUUGCAUGGAAAUCAAAGAAACAAGCUACAGUUUCAAGAAGCUCAGCAGAAGCUGAGUUUAGAAGUCUUGCUGCAGUUACAACUGAGCUAGUAUGGAUUGUGGGAUUAAUGAUAGAAAUUGGCAUUGAAGUGUAUCUGCCAGUUGAAGUGUUUAGUGACAGUAAAUCUGCUAUUCAAAUAGCAGCAAACCCCGUCUAUCAUGAAAGGACCAAACACAUUGAUAUUGAUUGCUUCUUCAUAAGGGAGAAAAUAGUUCAAGGGAUGAUUACAACUAAGUAUGUUCCAACAAAAGAUCUGCCUGCAGAUAUGGUAACCAAAGGUCUUACCAAAGCUAAAUUGAUGCAUCUCAAUUCCAAGCUAGGAAUAUGUGAUAUCUUCACAUCUUCCUAGCUUGAGGGGGAGUGUUGAGUAUUGUAAUACACAUGUUAAUCAAGAAUAUUGUGUCAACGUAUAGUUUGUUAGUUAAAUGUUCAUAGUUAGUUAUAGGUUAAAAGUCAGUUGCUAGUAGAGUGAUAGUUAACAGUUUGAGUACUUUGGCAACUGAUUUGUAUAGAAGUAGUUGGUAUUAUUGCAUCUAUAGAUACCACUUAAUGUACAUUGAAAACAAGGAAGAAAUAUACAAAAAUCUAUAUUCAUCAAGAAUCUCUCUUUUCAAUACACUCCUCCUCCUUCUUCUUCUUCUUUAAUCUUGUGUAUUCUAAGUCAUUUAUACUUAGUAUAAUUACACUAACCACGACUGAAUUUUGCUUUAAUAGAUGAAAACCAAAAAAAUAUCAAAUUACAGAGAUAUUAUAGCUCAUAUUACUACAACAACAUACCAAGAAUAUUCCCACCAAAUGGGGUUUGGGGAGGUUAAGAGUACGCAGUCCAACCACUACCUCAAAUGUGAGAUAGAGAGGCUGUUUUUGAUAGACCUCCGACUCAAAAUAAAGCAAUCUAAGAUCACAUAAGGAAUAGUAGUAGAACAAGAUACAAUAGAUGAUUUUUUUUGCUUUUUUUUUUUUUGGUCAUUUUGUUUCAGCUGUCAGUCUAUGUCGCGGUAGUUGUUGUUCUUGCAUUCAAUCAUCUUGGCUUUGGUAAUUGUCAUCUUCUUGCAGGACUUGUGAUAAAUCUCGUUAAACUCGGCAAAUUAUAUAGUAGUUUUUCAUCUUUUAAGCUAUUGUGAUAAGGCUGGUGCUUUAACCUCUCUUUCACUACUCUUUCCGUUUAUAAGUUAGUUUAAAGCGCAGCUGAAUGUAUGGUCCUUGGUUGCAUUGUAAUUAGUGUUUCCUUAUACAUUUGUUUGUACGUGCUUUAUUAUUGCGCAUUAUUGAUGUUAGUAUUCAUAAUUUUCUCAUUUGUAAUGGUUUAGUUGAAAAUCUGAAUCAUGCUAUAUCACCAUCAUCUGGGGUGAAUCACAUUUGAACCGUGUGAUCUUUUAUUUAUGUUUUCCUGGGCAGUUGAACUUUGACGGCAAAUGUCAUGUACACCAAAGGUCUUAGUUCUCGGUACAAUGGAUUCGAGUUCCAUACAUGAACUAUCCAAGUGUGUGAGUUUACUAACUAAAUUAUCAGCAACUACAUAUCAAAACAUACCUCAACUAUUAAUUGUUUCGAGUUUCAUAGUGACUUAAUGGUUGUGCGAGUUCACUACUGAACUAUCACCAACUAUUUAUCAAAAUACACCUCAACUAUCAAUUGAUCUCUUUUCUGACCUAAAAGAUGGUGAUAUUCCUUUGGAUGGAGUUAUUACUUGCAUUGGGCCAUGACUGGAAGGUUUAACAUGAAAUGUAGUGCUGUUUGUGGAGUAGAAGGGUUGAGAGAUUCGCAGUUAUAAUGUUCUGCCCAUAUGUUGGGUGGUUGAGAAAAAGAGGGGAGUUUGUAGUUAAGCUAAAAGUUACUUGCUUUAUGUUUGUGUCUUCGGAAUGUAUAUAUGUCAUUUUGUUCUCUGUUUUUUAAAAUAGUAGCAAGGAUUUAUGCUUUCUACAACUACAAAAUAGUUAUUUACUCGUUAUAUUUCUAUCUGUGAUACUGUCGUAGCAUUAGACUUCAGGAAUUUUGGAAGCAAAACUUUCUCAAGAGAUGCCUAAAGCUUUUAGCUUUGAUCAUUCGACACCAAGUGGAACAUACGCAUGUAGACUCCAAGUAGUGUGUUUUAAUGUAGGGUUGAGUGGAGAGCUAAUCCGAUGCUUGCUGGAGAUGGACUCCUAGCUAUUAAUUAUCUUUCUUUGGGUUUGUUUAUUCUAAUUGCAUGUUUAGUAUUGAAAAACUUUUAUCAUUCUGGUGUAGAUUAGGACAUUGGAAGGAAUGACUUUACCAGGUCCAUUUGUUAAUUUUUUCUUGGCCCCUCGUGGAAACUUAAUGAAUUAAUGAGAUUAUAGAUGAUAUACUGUACUGUCUUAAUUUAAUUCUUACAUAAAUCCAAAUGGAAGAUGUUGUUGUGCUUACACAAGAUGCUCUGAAAAUUAAUAUUUAUUGGAAUUAAUCAAUCCAUUAUAUUUCAUGAUAUUGUAAAUAAUGCAUGUGUACUUUAAGAACAAAUAAAACUGUGACAAAGCAUCAUCUCUGAAAAUUCUGCUGAUAACCGUUGUCGUCGGGAUUGUUCUUCUUUUGAACUUCAGAAGUUGAACAUAGUGUACUUAUUAGAGCAUAUGUGCCUUCGAUAAAUCCUCCUAAGUUAGAAACUCGCUUCCUCAUCCUUUAAGUUUUGCUCGCUACUUCCAUUUUGAUAGAAGUAAAUGCUUGAAGCUACCUUAAACUUAAAAAAACCUUUUCUGCACAAGUCUUACUAUUUUUGGUGUUGCUAUUUCAAUAAUUUUUGGGGUUUGGUAAUUUUCAUUUUACACGAAUGAUGAAUUGUUCCGUGAUUUUCAGGUAAAUGAGGCGUAGUCUUGAGGUCUGGAAGAUGGGCACUGUCAAUUACCUGGAGGCACUGAAGCUGCAAGAGAAGCUGGCAUCUGAUAGAAAAGCUCUUAAAAUUACUGAUACCCUAUUAUCUCUACAACAUCCACCGACAUAUACAGUUGGCAAAAGGGAAACAGUUCAUAAUCUACUCAUUCCUGAUUCAGAGCUCAAAGCCAUUGGGGCAGAACUUCACUAUACACAAAGAGGAGGUGACAUUACUUUUCAUGGUCCUCACCAAGCAAUCUUGUAUCCCAUUGUUUCAUUGAGAUAUAUUGGUUUGGGGGCUAGAAAGUAUGUUGAGAAGCUUGAGCUAACCAUGAUAGAAUUGGCAUCUAUGUAUGGUGUGAAAGCACAGGUUGGAAGAAGAUGUGAAACUGGGGUUUGGGUUGACGACAGAAAGAUUGGUGCAAUUGGUGUUAGAAUUUCAUCUGGGAUCACAUCUCAUGGAUUAGCAUUCAACAUGGAUCCUGAUUUAAACUACUUCAAGCAUAUUGUGCCUUGUGGAAUUGCAGAUAAAGAUGUUACAUCUUUGAAGAAAGAGGCAGAUGUAGAGCUUCCUUCUGAAGAAGUGAUACAGGAGAAAUUGAUUGCUUGUUUUGUAAAAAUAUUUGGGUACAGCAAUGUCAUUUUGAAAGAUAAGUCAAAGUUUUAAUUUGUUGAGCAAUAGUGUUGUCAUGCACUGAUGCAUUUAUGUGACUAAUUCUUUGUAUGAGUAGUACCGUUCUUUUAAUAUGUGUUGUUUUUGUUAUUAUCUGUUGACUCUUGUACUUCCAUUAGUAUCUGUUGUUUUUUCUUGAGCAGAGAGGCUAUCGAAAACAACCUAUCUACCUUUGAGGUAUGGUUAAGGUCUGCGUACACUACCUAUCUACCUCUAAGGUGGGUUAAGGUUUGCGUACACUUUACCCUCCCAGACCUCGCUUUGUGGGAUUACUCUGGGUAUGUUGUUGUUAUUGUAUGAAUAAGCAAUAAUUACAAAUGCAAGCAUGUUACAUUUGCUGAGUAUCAAGUUUGAAAUAAGAAUACAUUUAAGGCCAUUUUGCUGUACUGUGGAUUUUCCAUGUGUAGGGUUCACUGUUUAACUUUCUUCGGCCCACAUUGAGAAGAAAGCAUUUAAAUUCUUUGAUGCUCGGAGUAUCCAAUUUCACAGUCAAGCAACUUAGUAAGCCCUGAAAUAUUGCGCAGAUAAUGCCUUCUGUGUGCCAGGUUAGUUUCUAUAAUGUAUAAAUAUCUUGUAUGGCCAACUUAAUCUGUUGCAACAAGCAAUUUAUCCAUUUUCAAGAUUAGAAAAUCACUCAUUUUAAAGCAAUUUACCUAUCAAUAUGCUUUUGUGACCUGAUAGUGUAUAACAUGUGUAUAUAGCUUAAAAAAUGACUUCCGCACAAGAGUCUGCUUCUCUUAUUAUAGAGCAUCUCUUCAUGUCCAGAAAACAUCCAAUAACUGUUCCUAUCGCCUCCUCAUUCAAGUUUAUCUUUCAAGGCAACUGGCAAAAUACUUGAAUGUGAGAAAUAAUUACUUAUUUCAUGCGUGUUAGUCUGUAUUGAGUUGGAUGUUCUGGAAGCUGCAUUGUAGGAUCAAGAUUUCUCUCUUAGCAGUGAAUGGUUUUCACAGUUUUGGACUUGCAUUUAAAGUUUUUGGUUGAGCGUCACUUGAAAGAGAUUGCCGAGGCUUUUCUUUUCCUUCACGUGUCUCAUUAUGCAUCAUGUCUUAUACAAUCUUUUUGUCUCUGAUUCGUACGACGGGUAUGUUGUUUUUAUUCGUAGGAUAUGGAAUCUAUAGUUGAGACCAUGAUGCAGUAGCUUUUGUCAAAGGAAAUUCUUCAUGAACCCAUGAAAGAAAUUGAAGAAAGAUAUCCUAAGUGGUUGGAGGACAACAAAGUCAAGUUGAGCACUGAAGAAUAUGAACGUUACUAACAUCAGUACGAACUUAUAAGAGAUCUGAACAAAGUUUAUGAGACUGAACCUAGCAACUUCAACAACAUUGUAGAGCUUAUGCAGAAAAUGCAAGAACGUGGCCAACCGCCAAAUGAUAUUGUUCAUGAGCUUGCUCCGGACUUUGAUAUAUCUUCUCUUGGACAAUUGUAAGUCCUCUGAUAUUUUCAGGAUUUUGUGCAUAUAGAGUUAACUUCAUACUGAUAACUGUUUGAUGUUUUUAAAUACUUCCGAUUAGACAACAAUGUUACCUUGUUUUUUCUUAUAUUGAGCCUAAUUGUCCCCUCUGGUUUUGCAGAUCCCCAGAGAUGUUGGAAGGCCAACAGAACUGCUGUAUCAUGUAAAAGAUGCCCUGUCCCAAUAUUCUUCUGCUAGUUCAUUAAUUUUCUUUUGUUACAAUUUGCAUAGAACAACAUUUAUUUUUUGCUUGGAUUUUACUUGUAAUGUUAUUGCUCAUUUCAUCUCCUAGAUAUAUGCCAUAUAUUUUUUCUUUUGGGUGUUCAAAUGUCCUGUUGGACCACAAAAUGGCUGUAUGGUUCUUAGAAUGGUGGAAUAAGAGUUAUCUGCAAAUACUGUCAACAUGUGCUUUAAAUUUAAAACAGUAAUAGGCGAUGAAUACAUGUUCAUCUAGUCAUGACUGUCGCGACUAGAGUCGCGAAGGUCUUAUCUAAAUUGAUUCACUCGAGCUGAUAAGCCCGAACUAAACACAGAGAUGGAGUCAAGAUUCCCACCGAGGGGAUUCAAUAUAAGAAAAAACUAGUCGAAGGGACAUCUAUAGUGUAUAAAUAAAAAUCAUUUUACUAUUUAUUAAUAGUAUAAUUUUUUGUCGGAGGACGUUUGGAUGAACUUCUAGUAAAAGACUGUUCCGCCCUUGACUAAACUAACUGUCCCCAGCUAGUUUAAGUUAGUCCUUCCUGUCUUAUUGCUUAUGUUUUGUGCAUAAUGCAAUGUCAUNNNNNNNNNNNNNNNNNNNNNNNNNNNNNNNNNNNNNNNNNNNNNNNNNNNNNNNNNNNNNNNNNNNNNNNNNNNNNNNNNNNNNNNNNNNNNNNNNNNNNNNNNNNNNNNNNNNNNNNNNNNNNNNNNNNNNNNNNNNNNNNNNNNNNNNNNNNNNNNNNNNNNNNNNNNNNNNNNNNNNNNNNNNNNNNNNNNNNNNNNNNNNNNNNNNNNNNNNNNUAUAAUUGCUUUCACAAUGUUCACCAGUUUAAUAAAAGAUUUUAAUUGAUUUACUGAUCUAGAUAACAAAAAGCUUCAUUAAAGACGAAAGAUUGAAACAAACAAAAAACUAGAUUUAAUAACAUAGGAAUUCCAUAACCUUCUUUUUUUGGAGGGGAUAGGGCAUGGGGGUGGGGUGGGAGGUGUUUCUAAAUCUCAAAUAAAUGGGAAUGAAGACUAAACAAUAAUUGACUUAACAACAUAGAUAAAAGUUGAUCAUAUUAAAAGAUGUAGCUGGUUAAGUUUCUUUUAGGCACAACUUUAUAUUCAAGAACUUCAAUUAUCAUCUCUGUGAUAAUUAUGAGUUCAAGAACUCAUCUCUUCUAGAUCAAGGGCAACUUCUGAAAUAAACUUGAAUUGCUCGGCUGGAACAUCACCUUUUAUUUCUUUUUUAAUUUUGUCCAGUCUUGAUUUAUAUGCCUCAAAGUGCUUCAACUUGUGCUCCAACAUAUGUUUAUUUGUUGGCAUUUCUGAGUCAAGGUUUUUCUCCUUGAAUGCUUGUACUUAUUUACGAAGAUCUUCAAAUGCCUCCAAGGCAUUUGUUUUGCUCAUAUUAGUAUGAUUCUGUUGGCUAUCGUUUUGUUUCAAUUCAUGAAACUUAUCAAUUACUUUUUCUAUACUUGGGGAGCCAUAGGAAUGUGGUUUUCCAGCUUGUGUAAAGAGAAUAAAACCGACAUCUGCUCCGGUUAGAUUUGAAUACUCUUUUGCUUUCUCGUCCAAGCCUUUUUUUCUUUUUGAAAAAGCAACAGUGCAAGCUUCUUUAGACUCAAUCAACUUUAUUUCGAUCUUUUGUCUACCCUUUCCACCCCUCUUAUCCAUUGCGAAAUAAAUAAU